AUGUUUCUCUUUGCUGUUGUUAUGACCUCUCUCCCUGUGUUCUGCAAAGCUCCACUCCAGUAUCAGCUGCUCCAUGGCUGGUGCUACUCACGUCUGCCUUGGGAACCUCACCUGUCCUGUACAGCUUCCAGCAUCAGCUGUGCUAUGAGAGGCAUCAGAUGCAUAAAGGAACUAGACAGAAGAAAUGCAAGACAAAUAUCUUAUGCACAGAUUGUAACCAGCUGUGUCUGUCCAGCAGAAGAGUCUUCCAGGACACAGUGCAAGAUGAACAAAAAUAUAAUACCUCUCUUCCCUGAGACCCUGAGGUCUCUUUCUGACAAGGAAUUGCCUAUUACACCUGCAAAACUGGCUUCUUCCCUUUGGCUAAGCACCUGGAUUCUUCUUAUCACCCUUUUUUAACUAAAGCUAAUGAAAUUUAGUAGAGCCUAGCUGUAGAUCUGAAUGUCCAGUCUUCCCACCUGUAGAUGCACUUUUUCUUCUCCUACAUGCUCAGAUAAUUUUUUUUCCUUAGACUGUGGAAAGUAAAGGACAGUAAGGAAUUGUGAUAUCACAAGGCAGGGACAGUUUCCUGCAGCAGGAAUCAAAAUUGAAGGCUGUAGAAUUUAGGUUAGAUGACAUUAUACAGGUGAGGAAAUUUCAUUCUUUUAACAAUGGGGAUAAAUUUAUUUAAAAUAAAUUUCUGGUAGUGUUUUAGUACUGUUAAUUU
RNAcentral lists this long non-coding RNA (706 nucleotides) under Cyanistes caeruleus (blue tit). RNAcentral's name for it is "lncRNA (ENSCCEG00000016664.1)". Lineage: Eukaryota; Metazoa; Chordata; Aves; Passeriformes; Paridae. The record is from RNAcentral.